Solanum pennellii is the source of this 1460-nucleotide RNA transcript. It is a transcript of the gene named protein SYS1 homolog, with no coding region annotated. The record is from RefSeq and is a predicted model, not a curated record. The transcript is spliced from 4 exons. Lineage: Eukaryota; Viridiplantae; Streptophyta; Magnoliopsida; Solanales; Solanaceae.
AUGUAAAAAUAAAAUAAAACAAAAUGUUAUGUGGGCUGUGAUGAAGCUUUUACAAAGAAAAAGAGUUUAGGUGGAGACCGGAGACGAUUGCCACCGAACUCAUCCUUGUUAUGCUCUUUUUUCAGAUUCAGAAUUUUGAUUGUACUUUCAAUCAGCUCAAUUUCUCAGAUUUACGCCGAAAUUAGGGUUUCUGAUUGUAGCGCUAUUAAAUUAUUCUUUGCUUUGAAUUUACUCAAUCAAUUGAUUGUUUGUUCGGUGCAGUUUUUAGAGGAAUUGGGAUUAUUGGUGAAAGAGGAUCGAAAAAGUCAUGUUCUAUGGAACGGCAGUGUGGGAUCCAUGGCUUAUUGUUGCGCAGAUCGUGUGUUUUCAAUGUCUAUAUUAUUUGACGCUGGGGAUAUUCAUGACAAUUCUUGUUGGAACUCGUGUUUCACGAAUUAGUCUGGUAUAUUUCUUUGAUUAUGCUACUGUUACUGCUUCCACCGUCACUGGAUGGUGCGUCAUUGCCUCAUUUAUUCUCAGUUCACUAGCAGGAGCUGGCUUUUUGCUUUAUUUGAUUGAGAGGGCAAAGAAGUGCUUAGAUUUUUCAGCAACACUUUACAUCGUACAUCUUUUAAUAUGUAUUAUCUAUGGAGGCUGGCCUUCUUCAAUUACAUGGUGGGUUGUGAAUGUUACUGGGCUUGCGGUGAUGGCAUUGUUAGGUGAAUACUUGUGCAUAAGACGUGAAUUACGCGAAAUUCCAAUUCCGAAAUUCCGAUCAAGGUCAGUCAGUGAGGAGAAGGCAAACGAAGACAUGGAUGAGCAAAUCCCUUUGUAUCGUUUGGAUAAUAUGGCUUGAAAGAAAUUGUAGGUGCUUUAAGGGUAGGAGGAAACAUUACUUCUGUAAAAAAAUAGAUUUAUUCAGCAUCUUAAGAUUUGGUGUAAUGUCUUUUUUGAUGCUAUGCUGGAAUUCUGCUCCAGAUAUAAGGAAUCUAAUUCCAGUAAAUGUUUGACGGAGUUGAAGUGCAGCAGGAAGAACAAUUGUCUUAAUGAUGGUGCUCCCUGGUUUCCAAGGAGAUGAUCUUGGAUAAGCUUGUCAGCUUACAAGUCUGUCUUCUGAUAUGACAUCUAAAGCUUUCUAGAGGAGAUUUUAUUUCCUUUGCUGGCUGCAAUCAUGUCAAUUGUCUUUAGAGAUCGAAAAACAGAACAGGAAACAAGCUAAGCAGAGCUGUGCUUAGACAUUUUAUGUACAACUUGAAGAGUUUUAGAAUGACGUAGCAAAUUCUGAUGGGACGACAGUGUUUGGCAAGGUAUAUGUAGAUUUUAAGCAUUCAUAAUGCAUUUUGUUAUUCGAAGACUUUUUAAUCUGAAAUUGCAUGAUAAGUGUUGCAGUUUAGAUGCUGUAACUGAAAAUUGUUUGAUGCCACACCUAGAUUUGAUAUUGAUGAAGAGCAGUGAAGAGUAAUCUGCUGAUUAAUAGUUAA